Molecule: ribosomal RNA, 439 nt
Filed under: uncultured bacterium
Lineage: Bacteria
Description: partial 16S ribosomal RNA
Rfam family: Bacterial small subunit ribosomal RNA
Source: RNAcentral
CCUACGGGAGGCAGCAGUGGGGAAUAUUGCACAAUGGGCGAAAGCCUGAUGCAGCAACGCCGCGUGAGCGAUGAAGGCCUUCGGGUCGUAAAGCUCUGUCCUCAAGGAAGAUAAUGACGGUACUUGAGGAUGAAGCCCCGGCUAACUACGUGCCAGCAGCCGCGGUAAUACGUAGGGGGCUAGCGUUAUCCGGAAUUACUGGGCGUAAGGGGUGCGUAGGUGGUUUCUUAAGUCGGAGGUGAAAGGCUACGGCUCAACCGUAGUAAGCCUUUGAAACUGGGAAACUUGAGUGCAGGAGAGGAGAGUGGAAUGUCUAGUGUAGCGGUGAAAUGCGUAGAUAUUAGGAGGAACACCAGUUGCGAAGGCGGCUCUCUGGACUGUAACUGACACUGAGGCACGAAAGCGUGGGGAGCAAACAGGAUUAGAUACCCGGGUAGUC